RNAcentral lists this ribosomal RNA (301 nucleotides) under uncultured bacterium. RNAcentral describes it as "partial 16S ribosomal RNA". It matches the Rfam family "Bacterial small subunit ribosomal RNA", at positions 509 to 808 of the family's 1533-position model. The record is from RNAcentral.
CAGUAGCCACGGGAAUACGUAGGUGGCGAGCGUUGUCCGGAAUCAUUGGGCGUAAAGGGAGCGCAGGCGGGCCGGUAAGUCUUACUUAAAAGUGCGGGGCUCAACCCCGUGAUGAGAUGGAAACUGCCAAUCUAGAGUAUCGGAGAGGAAAGUGGAAUUCCUAGUGUAGCGGUGAAAUGCGUAGAUAUUAGGAAGAACACCAGUGGCGAAGGCGACUUUCUGGACGAAAACUGACGCUGAGGCGCGAAAGCCAGGGGAGCGAACGGGAUUAGAUACCCCUGUAGUCCCUGUCUCUUAUACC